This 1041-nucleotide long non-coding RNA is filed under the name Hordeum vulgare. RNAcentral describes it as "long non-coding RNA (HVUL_LNC020080)". The record is from RNAcentral. Lineage: Eukaryota; Viridiplantae; Streptophyta; Magnoliopsida; Poales; Poaceae.
CCCACAUCCUCGACUCCUCAAGUAUGUGUUGGAGUUUUACCGCAUGGAGUUGGUAAAUUUGAACUCCAACUCAAACUCCUUCCUAGUGUUUUUAUCAUCUCAAUGAGAUCUUGCUAGGUCGGAGUCGUCGCUUGAGGACUUUUUGCAUUUCUACCAGGUGUUAAUGUCAUACAGACAACUAAUGAAUCAAGGAGAAAAUGAAAGGGACAUUAUAUUUCUUGCAAGGUGUCGACUAAGCAGAGAUAAAAGCAAGUAGAGGGAUAUAAUCUGGUCCCACAAAAAAGGGAGUGAGAGGAAGACCCAAUAAUAUGAUGGAAUUAGGUUGGUCACAAUGAAAAUAUCAUAGACAGUAUUGCCAACUAGGCAUUUUUGCUAAUGUCACACAUAGUUAAAUGAGAAAGGAGAAGAUUGAGUAUUAUGAUAUGAUAUUGUACUGCUUUUGUAGGGGCUUGAAUUAAAGGUUAUGCUUUAUUGCAAAUUAAUGUUGGCCAGAUAGGUCAUUACAAGCACAACACUCGAACCACAUAUUCCCAUGAUAAAGGACUACCCACAUGAAUUUUAAACUAGACGGGCCGGUCCAGGAGCCACUCAAUUCACCUCACUGAAUAGAGCAGAAAGAAAACCAUAUUUUGCAUUGAAUAAGAUCAUUGCUCGUGCAUUGCAAAGAUAGCAUAAACAUUCUAGUAGCUUAUCCCAUGACUACAAGUCUAUUAUUAUGAUGGUGCGCUCAAAUAUUAGAAAGUUUUUGUAAGGAAUCAUCAUGAUUCAACUGCCAUCUUAUUGCUAAGCACUUACUUGGUAAUAAUUUUUGUAAGAAGUUUUUGUAUGCAAUAAUUAUGAUUCAAGUGUGAUCUUAUUGCUAAUCACUUAUUUGGUAAUAACUAGCAAAAGAGCUCGUGCGUUGUAACGGAAGAGAAAAUAACACACGCUCUGAACGCAAUAUAUUUUCACGUGGCAUCACAUUUGUGUUGCGGACGAUGGCUUUAGUGCUCACACAACGAAAACGUGUUUGAAUAUACAGUCACUCGAAAUAAGAUGAGA